This is a long non-coding RNA of Gasterosteus aculeatus aculeatus (three-spined stickleback), 510 nucleotides long. The record is from Ensembl. Lineage: Eukaryota; Metazoa; Chordata; Actinopteri; Perciformes; Gasterosteidae.
CUGCGUCCACGUUGCCUCUGUUUUUAAACUUGGAUCUCAUCGUACCGCAGGUCUGCCGAGGGGCCUCACCUCCUCUUCCUCUUGCACUUCUGUGGGUCAGGUCCAGCCAGCUGAUUGGCAGUUUGAAGGGGUAAACAGCGGAGAGAAAUCCGAUCAGACUGAAUACAGGCAACCGGGCCCACGGAUAAACAAGAAAACCAGUGUCUCCGUGGUGUCUCAAGAAUAAACCACUGGCCUCCACACAACGGCCGCUGCUGUCCUCCUGUGUGUCCAACGGGAGGAACCAGGGGCCAAGCGUUGCUCCAGUGGCUGGGUUCUGGGGAGCUGCAGGUCUACCUGUGGAUUAUUCCCUUCACAGGAACACAAGGGUACAGGGAGAAGCGGAGCCAGCUCCAUCUGUGGAAUACUGAUGCAGGAAUGGUCGAGCUCAGGGAGGCACGGGCAGCAUGGAGGCCAGGAGACGAAUCCUUAAACACACAGUCUGCAGGGUUUAUUGAUGCUCUAAGGAGA